UACGUAGGGGGCUAGCGUUGUCCGGAAUCAUUGGGUGUAAAGAGCGUGUAGGCGGUCCGGUAAGUCCGCUGUGAAAGUCGGGGGCUCAACCCUCGAAUGCCGGUGGAUACUGUCGGGCUAGAGUACGGAAGAGGCGAGUGGAAUUCCUGGUGUAGCGGUGAAAUGCGCAGAUAUCAGGAGGAACACCUAUUGCGAAGGCAGCUCGCUGGGACGUAACUGACGCUGAGACGCGAAAGCGUGGGGAGCAAACAGG
This 253-nucleotide ribosomal RNA is filed under the name uncultured bacterium. RNAcentral's name for it is "partial 16S ribosomal RNA". It matches the Rfam family "Bacterial small subunit ribosomal RNA", at positions 524 to 776 of the family's 1533-position model. The record is from RNAcentral.